CUCGGCUGAUUUCCUGAGGAAGGAGGAGAUGGCGAUGGUAAUUGCGCAUAGGUGGAGGUUACCAUUGUGAAGAAGAGGGGCUUCCAAGUCUCCC
Molecule: long non-coding RNA, 94 nt
Organism: Neltuma alba
Lineage: Eukaryota; Viridiplantae; Streptophyta; Magnoliopsida; Fabales; Fabaceae
Exons: 3
Source: RefSeq, a predicted model, not a curated record